Molecule: ribosomal RNA, 498 nt
Filed under: uncultured bacterium
Lineage: Bacteria
Description: partial 16S ribosomal RNA
Rfam family: Bacterial small subunit ribosomal RNA
Source: RNAcentral
ACGAACGCUGGCGGCGUGCUUAACACAUGCAAGUCGAACGGGCCCGCCCCUGUUUUUGGGGGUGGGUUGAGUGGCGAACGGGUGAGUAUCACGUGAGUAACCUGCCCCCUGCUCCUGGAUAACUGCUUGAAAGGGCGGCUAAUACGGGGUGUGCCGGCUGGUCCGCAUGGGCCUGGUCGGGAUAGUUUCAUCUUCGGGUGUUUCGGUGGGGGAUGGGCUCGCGGCCUAUCAGCUUGUUGGUGGGGUGAUGGCCCACCAAGGCGGUGACGGGUAGCCGGCCUGAGAGGGUGGGCGGCCACACUGGGACUGAGACACGGCCCAGACUCCUGCGGGAGGCAGCAGUGGGGAGUAUUGCACAAUGGGCGGAAGCCUGAUGCAGCGACGUCGCGUGAGGGAUGGAGGCCUUCGGGUUGUGAACCUCUUUCUCCGGUGGUGAAGGCCCUGUCCGUUGCGGCGGGGUUGACGGUAGCCGGGUAUGAAGCGCCGGCUAACUACGUG